Molecule: long non-coding RNA, 4832 nt
Organism: Dromaius novaehollandiae (emu)
Lineage: Eukaryota; Metazoa; Chordata; Aves; Casuariiformes; Dromaiidae
Exons: 2
Source: RefSeq, a predicted model, not a curated record
GCGCGCGUGCUGCCGCCUCACGUGACCCUCACGCCGCUGAGGCGCGGCAGGUUCGUUCGUUGCGCCUCUCUGGGCUCCCGCGGCGCGGGCGGGCGCGCUAACCACCCUUCCCCCUCCCCUCCCCCCCGCCUCCCUGCCGCCUCGGCCCGGCCGCGCUGGGGGCGUGGGAGGGCGGUUUCCCUCAGCGACCCGCCGUGACCCGCUCUGCGGUGCCCACGCCCUCCGCGUCCCGCGUGGGCCCGGCCCGUCCUGCCGGUUCCCCCUGCGGCGCCGCUCCGCGCCCGUGCCGCUUUCCUCGGCCGGGAGUGUGUCGAUGCAGGUUCAACCAAUACAGCAACCAGACAGACUGGAUACUGUGGGUUAAGAGGAAAUGUCUUCAAAAGGUAUGGUAGACACUUUAUAUGCAAGCCUGUUCUUAUUCCUAUUUCUGCUUCCUUUGGAAAAGAAAACACGGUUCAUCCCUUCCCACCUCCAUUUUCCCACAGAAAUGAGAAAAGCAAAAAGUGAAAUUCUAACCAAUCUUUACAAAGCAUAAGACUUAAAAUUCUCCCUGCAGCAUGGUAAAUUAACUAUCAACAUCUCUCCUGCAGAAGAAUCUUUUUGAGAACCACCCUUUUACCAGUCAAGGGAUGCAGCAACCAUUAUAAAACCUUUUGAUUCCAACUCAUGAUAUCUACAAAUGUUUUGUUUACUGCGAGCAGGAAAAUCAUAACUUCUAAUCAUGUACUUUUGGGUUUUCUUUCACUGUCCUUGCAUUUCCACAUCAAAGUUCUGGUCUUAAUUUGCAGAAAUUAUGUUGCUUGGCCAAAGGACCAGUGGUACCUACAAAUUGCCUUUUCAGAUAAGUGAGGUUGUGUGAAAGCACUCAUGACCUGGGAAUUCCUGAGAAGAUAAGAGAAUUUGGAGUUGAUACAGAAGCAGAUAAAGCCAGAAAGGCAGAACCUAAAUUAUUUGUUUCCAAAUAUGUUUUGUGCAAUGUGCUUUAAUUCUGCUGACAUUUUCUAAAGGAAAGGUUUUGUGCUCAUUUGUUGGUAUAAAUUCUAACGUGUUGUUCUGAAUUACACUCCACUUGGUACUUAAAAAACAGAGAGAAAUACUCUUUAGCUUUACAAAUUUAAGCCGCUAUCAAUUAACAUUUAUUCAACUUCUAAUAUUAAAAAAUGAAGGCUAUUUAUUAGUUAUUGUAACAUUAGUUAUUGAGAUUUGUGUUGAGCUCUUCAGCUAGAAAUUGGAAUUUGAUUCCAAUUUGGGAUUUGAUUGGAACUGAUAUUAACUACAGUUAAUAUUCCUUUUACGUGAUCAUGCACAACAUUCUUAAGACAAGCAGAGAUGCCCCAAAAUACAAAUGGAAGACUAAUGAGAUUUUCAGAAGCACUCUUGGCAGUGUUCCAGUUCCUGCUUGUAUUUUUCAAGUGUCUAAUGGCCAGAUUUUCAAAUGCUGUUUUUUGAGUUUUUAAAACUACCAGGUCUGAUCUCCUACUUGUUUUUUAUGCGUAGACAGAAAGAGGAAAAUGAGCUUUCUUGCCUUCUCAGAUCCCAGUUUUCAUCAGUUUUGCAUUAACCCGGUAAGAUGCUUCUCUGGAGCGUAGGAAAAUCUUUUCAGUCUUUGGAGGUGUCACAUGAAAAUAAGUGUUUCUUUUUCAAUUUAAAACUUCUUAUUUUCAUGUGGUAUUACUUUAAAUAGUAGGUACUUUCUAUUUAUAGCUACAAAGCAACAUUCUCAGAGGUCAAACAUUUAGGGUGGGAUAUAUCUCAUCCAAUCUCACUAAUUGAAAAAUUAGGCAUGUAGUCUAAUUCAGUCAUCUAGGUUCCUUCUGUAGAUAAAUUGGAGUAGGGAGGGAAGGGAGAGAGGCAGCUCUGCAGGCAAUUCAUUCCAUCCUGAGAUAUUCAUCCCACUAUCUAAAUGUCUUGGUCUUUGAAGGUGCCUGUCUCUCUAUUGAUUAAAGAUGGAGCCUGGAUGACUAGCUCAUAUUAGACAGCAGGCUUUUAGAUGGCUGCAGUUAGGAUGGGUUUCCUCUCAACUCGCAGAAAAAAAUCUCUAAAAAAACAAAUAUGAACAGGUGUCUUAGGGUUCUUGUACGUGUGUUUUACAAAAAAAUAAGCCUUUCUGAAUAACUUAGUGGAUUACUUUAUUACAGAAUUCUCCUUUCAACAAUUACUUUUUGCGUUUGCUGUAAUGCAGGCAGGAGGAACUGGCCAUGAGUAGGUAAGCAAUUAUAAAAGUCAAAUCAAGUAAGUACUUGUAACCUUGCCAUGCAGUUACUUGCAGGUGCAGUGUGCUAUAACAGAUGAUACAAAACAAGAAGACUUAAGUGUUUCAAGAAGAAUUUCACAGCAGGUAGUUUAAAAUCUUGUUAGUGAAAUAUUGUGUAAAAUAAGCAUAUAUAUUUAAAGGAAGUGUAUUUUAACUUGUUACUAUGGCUUCAAGUAACCUCUUAUUCCAGAAACAAGCUGAAUUCCUAAAGCCGCAACAAUAAGGAAUUCAUACUGAACAAUAGUCAUAUGUUGCAGUGUUUGAAUUCAUAUACAGCCAAUGCAUUUCAAACCCCAUCAAACCUGUUCAGAGAUAAACUAUAAAUAAUAAUCUAAAGGAAACAUUUUGAUGUGUUGUGUAAACAGUAUUUGAGUAACGUGAACAGGAGAAAGAUAAUUUCUCAUCACUGCCUUGUAAUAUUAUAAAGUAAGGUAUGCUGGACUAGAUGACUCAUGCUGUAAAGUUUACUCAGCACAAUCCACUCAGUGUAUCAUCCUGAAAAGGAGUAUAAUUAUUAAAGCAAGAGUGAAGCCAUCUGAUCUGUAUAUAUUACAGAUGUGUACACUUCCUGGGGAUUCGAGGUGUCUGAUACAUCAUGUGUUUCAGCCCUGCAUUUAGUGGAUUAGACAUGUAAUUUCUUUAAACAAUAGCAUAAAUUGUAUGCGUAAUCCAAAGUGCAUGACACAAAAAAAUGUUAAAUAGGAGAGAAUGCUGUGGCCUCAUUGGGAAUGUAUUUCUAUCCAUUCUCAUAAAAUUCUUGUACAAAUAGGAAUUGUUCAUUUUUUGUGUGGUAGCUCUUUAGUACAGAAGAUAUAGCCCUAUUAGAGAGAUUACAUACCAUCCUUUUUACAGACGGAAAAUCUUGUUCUGCUCCCUUGUAAUUUAUAAUGAUGAAACCACUAACUAUAUUAGUUAGAAAGGGUGGGGAAAAUAAAAACAGAAAGUUAAAGAUCUUGGGAGAGGUUCUCCCUGCACCUUUAGGCUUGCACCCACUUCAGUUCUCAAGAUAAUGUUUCCUUCUUUUCCAAAAUCUUUUUUCUUACGAAUGGAAGAAUCUGUGACUAGCUAGAUGGUGAGAUAUUAGCUGAAACAUUAGUUAGGAUAGAAUAACAAUUCAGUCCUUCACUUUUUACUCCUGUCCUUCCUUGCAUAUUACUUUCUUUUAGGUGUAUUGCUUUCUAAAGUUUGGGGGGGGAGGGGAAAGGAUAGGUCACGUGUUGGGAUUGAGCCCAUCCAUUUCAUUUGUUAUUGUAAAUCUAAAAUUGUUCUCAGGUAUCUGAACCAAGAUUUAGCAGGCCAGGUACUCAAAUUUUCUUUACAAUUUCUGCAUGAAGUGAUUUAAAUAUCCCCUCUCUCAGCUAAGGCCUAAUGCAGAAUUCUGUGAUACUAUAUUAGUUUUUACCCCAUGCUGCAAAAAUGGUGGGCUAAUCUUCAACUCUUCUAUUAACCACUGCUCCCUUGUUUAAGGUGGUCAGCUAUUUUAUUUACUGUAAUUGAAAACAAUUAGCCGUCCUUUCUGUUGUUCAUUGCAAAUGUGCCUCUUCUAGAAUGGCUUUUUCUUGGUUAGCUUACUUGAGGUAAAUAGAUCUAAAAAGAAGGAACAUGCAGAAGGUGUAAUGUAAUGAAGGUCAUGUUUCCUGCUCUUGUGCCUGGUGAUGGGUGAAUCUGGACAGCAGCCUGGCAGGGAAGAUUAGGAAAGUCCUCUGCCUGAUUCUGAAGUCUGGGAUAUACUGGAAGGUGGUCUUCAGUAAGUAUUGGGGUGAGCGAAUGUGCAAAGGAGACUUGGAGAGAAAAACACAUUGCUGAGUGGAAGAAUAUUCACAUGUAGUAGAAGAAAGAAAUUAUAUAUCAAUUUAAAUGUAUAUUUUUUCAAAUGAGUAAUCUAUUUAGGCUUAAUAUUUAAACCAUCACAUUGUUAAGAAUUUACUACUAGAAAUACAAACUUCUUUACCUUUUUUGUGUACGUACUACAGAAUUUACAGAUCAGAAUACAGGAGGUAAGUUUCCUGCAAAAAUACAGGAUAGUAUGUUGAAUCGGUUGUUUACAUUAAAUUCCGUAACAGUUGUGAAACAGAAUAUGGUUUUGGUAUAAUUCUAUGGAAAAUACUUCUGUGAUUAUAUAUAUACAUAUAUAUAUAUAUUUUAAAACCUUAAGUGAUCACUUUCUCGACUUCUUGACUACAAAAAAAAUGGGUUGUCAGAGCAUGGCCAUCUUCUGUACAGGAAUAUACAAUUAGUAUGAUUUUUAUUUUUUUCUGUUGAGAUACUUUUUAAUAGUGCAAGUUGAUUGAAGAGCAGCUGUACUCAAAUAGUCUGACCAGCAGAUGUAAUGUAAGAAGUUUGAAAUAAUGUUCCUUCUAUGUUAUAAAUAAAAAAACUCAGUGUUUGUACCUAACUGAUGUUUAAGGUUCAUCUUUUCCAAUUCUUUGUAUAAAUAUUGCUUUUCCAGUUAAAGUAAUGAUGUUGUAGUCCUGGGAACAUUAAUGAGACAAAUUGCUUGUGCUUGUAAGUGGCUUUGGCUCAUAAUCCUCCAGAAACAUAUUUUUAAAUAAAUUUUAUUGUUACCAUUGUGAUCCUA